GAUGAACGCUGGCGGCGUGCCUAAUACAUGCAAGUCGAGCGAACAGACGAGGAGCUUGCUCCUCUGACGUUAGCGGCGGACGGGUGAGUAACACGUGGAUAACCUACCUAUAAGACUGGGAUAACUUCGGGAAACCGGAGCUAAUACCGGAUAACAUGUUGAACCGCAUGGUUUAACAGUGAAAGACGGUCUUGCUGUCACUUAUAGAUGGAUCCGCGCCGCAUUAGCUAGUUGGUAAGGUAACGGCUUACCAAGGCAACGAUGCGUAGCCGACCUGAGAGGGUGAUCGGCCACACGGGAACUGAGACACGGUCCAGACUCCUACGGGAGGCAGCAGUAGGGAAUCUGCCGCAAUGGGCGAAAGCCUGACGGAGCAACGCCGCGUGAGUGAAGAAGGUCUUCGGAUCGUAAAACUCUGUUAUUAGGGAAGAACAAAUGUGUAAGUAACUAUGCACGUCUUGACGGUACCUAAUCAGAAAGCCACGGCUAACUACGUG
RNAcentral lists this ribosomal RNA (497 nucleotides) under uncultured bacterium. Its description in RNAcentral is "partial 16S ribosomal RNA". It matches the Rfam family "Bacterial small subunit ribosomal RNA", at positions 28 to 507 of the family's 1533-position model. The record is from RNAcentral.